GGGGCUGUAGCUCAGUUGAUAGAGCACCUGAUUUGCAAUCAGGGGGUCAGGGGUUUGAACCCCCUCAGCUCCACCA
RNAcentral lists this transfer RNA (76 nucleotides) under Candidatus Peribacteraceae bacterium. RNAcentral's name for it is "tRNA-Ala". It matches the Rfam family "tRNA". Rfam says of the family: Transfer RNA (tRNA) molecules are approximately 80 nucleotides in length. Their secondary structure includes four short double-helical elements and three loops (D, anti-codon, and T loops). Further hydrogen bonds mediate the characteristic L-shaped molecular structure. tRNAs have two regions of fundamental functional importance: the anti-codon, which is responsible for specific mRNA codon recognition, and the 3' end, to which the tRNAs corresponding amino acid is attached (by aminoacyl-tRNA synthetases). tRNAs cope with the degeneracy of the genetic code in two manners: having more than one tRNA (with a specific anti-codon) for a particular amino acid; and 'wobble' base-pairing, i.e. permitting non-standard base-pairing at the 3rd anti-codon position. The record is from RNAcentral. Lineage: Bacteria; Candidatus Peregrinibacteriota; Candidatus Peribacteria; Candidatus Peribacterales.